AUGAAGCCGCGUAUCUUCAAAUCUUUGGCUAAUUAUCUUCGAAGGGAGAAGUUGGUGAAAGAUACCAGAAUUAAAGUCGAAGAGAAAGUAGCAUCAUUUCUGUGGAUGUUAUCUCAUAAUUCUUCAUUUGAAGACCUUCAAGUUCGGUUUGGUCACAGCGGGGAUACUUUCCAUUGGCAAAUGAAGAAUUUCUUUGACAUCAUCCCUAUUCUCUCCAAGCAUUUUUUGAAGCCUCCAAAUCCUAGUCAAGUGCAUCCAAAGAUUCAGUCGGACACGAGAUUCUUUCCUUAUUUUCAGGUUUUUGCUUUGCCAACUUUGAUCCACAUCAAUAACUUACUGUUCAUGUUAUAG
This 351-nucleotide ribosomal RNA is filed under the name Triticum aestivum (bread wheat). RNAcentral's name for it is "partial small subunit ribosomal RNA". Lineage: Eukaryota; Viridiplantae; Streptophyta; Magnoliopsida; Poales; Poaceae. The record is from RNAcentral.